Molecule: transfer RNA, 68 nt
Filed under: Penaeus latisulcatus
Lineage: Eukaryota; Metazoa; Arthropoda; Malacostraca; Decapoda; Penaeidae
Description: tRNA-Asp
Source: RNAcentral
GAAAAAUUAGUUAAUCAAAUAACGUAAGCCUGUCACGCUUAAAUAAUCAUUAUUUAUGAUAUUUUUCG